AGGAAUGACAAGUAUGAGUAAAUUGAAAGAUAAAAAUAGAUUGAGAUUUUCAGCUCAGUCUUCCAAUCUCACACCAGAGAUUCACAGUUCCCAAUUAUACACCACCAGAGCACCUCAAGGAGAACAGAUCUCCUUUCUCUCUCACAACACUCAAACCCUAAAAUACCCAGAAAACCACGAAGGAAGAACAGAUCAAGCACUCAAGCUAACCCACUCACCAAAACCCCAAUUUCUGAACUCACAAAGAAGAAAAACGAAGGGAUUUAGGUCUGACUAGGGUUUUCUGUGUCUUACCCUCUUCCAGCCUCCAUGCCAACAUAUAUAGGGACUGAAGUCAAAGAUAGCCGGUGAAGGCUGUACCGGAGGGUCAAAGUCAGCACUGUACCGUGCACUUUGACCUCCAGCCAUAACUCAGUCAAGGCAGUACAAGGGAGGAAGAAGACAGACAAAGGAGCGGCGAAGAAGAGAGGGUAAGAGUUAGGGUUUCAGAGUGAGAGAAACGAAGAGAGAGAAAAUGCUAUUUAAGUGAGUCAAUGAACGGUCCAGAUUGAGCCUAAAAUCCAACGGAUGGAUUUGGUUCACAAAUGGGUUGGGCUCACUCAUAAAUGCCUUGGGCUUAACUCAAUGGUGGUGUAUAAGUGAUGGCAAUUGGGCUUUAUGGCCCAGAACAUAUUUGGGCCAAAAUCCAACAAUUCUCCACCUUGGACCAAAUGUGAAUCAUUAGUGAAAAUUUUAUAAAAAAUUUUUGGAAGUCAUCAUUGCUGAUUUUUGACACACCAGUAAGAGCACACAGUUCAUACAAGUAUAUCAAGUUGAAUUCACUCAGAAUACAACUUAUCUGCACUUUAAAAUAAAUGCAGUAAAGCAAUCACACAGACAGCACAAUCUUAGUCACACAGAAAAAAAAUUUAAACAAGCAAUCACAAAGAAAGCAUAAAUACCAAGUCACACAGACUACAAACUAGCACACAGCAAGUCAAGGUUUGGAAAGAAUGUUCAAGUUUUGCAAACAAGAACAGAAUUUUUCAGAAGGCAGACAUUUAGUUCCCAUGUCAGCUGGAUUGAACUCAGAUGGGAUUUUUUCAAGGUCAAUAAUCCCUUUUUCAACCACAUCCCUAAUGAAAUGGAACUUCACAUCAAUGUGUUUAGUUCUAUCAUGAAAAACAGGAUUUUUACACAGUUGAAUGCCAGAUUGACUAUCAGAAAAUACUACCACUUUGGAAUUAAGCAUAUCAACUUCCAACAACAGCCCUUUAAGCCAAAUGGCUUCUUUAAUAGCCUCAGUAGCAGCUAUAUAUUCAGAUUCAGUAGUAGACAGAGCAACAAUGUGUUGGAGUUGAGAUUUCCAACUAACACAAGCACCAUUUAAGGUGAACACAUAGGAGGUAGAAGAUUUUCUAUUGUCCCUAUCAUUGGCAAAGUUUGAAUCCACAUAACCACAGAGUUCAAUUUCAGUUUUGCCUUUUGAAAACAUCAAGCCAGUUUUAACAGUACCUUUCAAAUAUCUAAGCAGCCAUUUUAGAGCCUCCCAGUGAGGCAAACCUGGAUUAGACAUAUAUCUACUCAAGCAACUCACAGAAUAUGCAAUGUCAGGCCUAGUACUAACCAUCAAGUACAUAACAGAGCCAAUGGCAUUGGCAUAAGGCACAUUUUUCAUUUCAGAGAUUUCAGGCUCAGUCUUGGGAGACUGAUCCUUACUUAGCAAAAAAUGAGGAGCAAGAGGAACAGACACAGGUUUGGCAGACAACAUAGAAAUUUUUUCAAGGAUUUUCUCAAUAUAGGAGGAUUGAUUCAGAAACAGAGUACAGCCAGUCCUAUCUCUAAUUAUGUCCAUGCCAAGAAUUCUUUUUGCAUCACCAAGAAGUUUCAUGUCAAACUCAUCACUAAGGCAUUUAAUCACAUGAUUAACAGUUUGAAUGCAAGGACUAGCAAGAAGCAUGUCAUCCACAUAGAUAAGCAAGAACACAGGAAUUUUAGCAGAUUCUUUAAAGUACAAGCAAGGAUCAUAAGAACUCCUUUUAAAUUUUAAAGACAUCAUGCAUGCAUCAAAUUUCUUGUUCCACUGCCUAGGUGACUGUUUCAGUCCAUACAAAGAUUUCUUAAGGAGGCACACAUAAUCAGGAUGUUUUUUAUCAACAAAACCCUCAGGCUGGCACAUAUAAAUUUGCUCAUCUAGAUCACCAUGCAAAAAAACAGUUUUCACAUCCAUUUGUUUUAAUUCCCAGUUAAAGUGAGUAAUUAAAGCAAGCAUGAUUCUAACAGUGGUGAAUUUCACAACAUGAGCAAAUAUUUCAGUGUAAUCAAUACCUUCCUUUUGGGUAAACCCCUUAGCCACUAGCCUAGCUUUAUAUCUAACAGAGUCAGAUUCAUGUUUAACCUUAAACAACCACUUACAGUCCACUAAAGAGCAUGCAGGAGGUUUAGGUACAAGAAUCCAAGUAUGGUUAACAUGUAAGGACUUCAUUUCAUCAUUCAUAGCAUUUAACCAUUCAACAGACUCAUCAGAAUUCAAAGCUUCCCUAUAAGACUUAGGUUCAUUACCAUCUAGAGAAUCAAACACAUGAAACACAUGAGAAGCAAGUUGAUAAUCAUUCAAAUGAGGGGGCCUAACAAUGUUUCUUCUAUCUCUGUCCCUAGCAAGUUGAUAAUCACUAAGAUCAUUCACAGAGGGAACAUCAAGAUUAGCAUUUUGAUCAAAAACAGUGUUUUCAGGCAUCUCAUUAUUAACAACUUCAUCAUCAGAGUUUUCAUUUUCAGUUUGAACAGAAUUAACAGGUGGAAUCUCCACCUCAGAUGAAGUGGUAUCAGGUGAAACAAUAGUAGGAGCAGAUAAGCAUGGAAAUUCAUUUUCAUUAAACACAACAUUCCUGCUAAUCACAGUUUUAAAACCCUGAUCACCAUACAACCAACAUCUAUACCCCUUAACCCCUUCAGGGUAUCCUAAGAAAACACAUUUCACAGAUCUGGGGUCAAGUUUAUCAAGUUUUUGAUGAACAAACACAGUACAACCAAAAACUUUCAAAUUUGAUAAAUCAACAGGUUUACCACACCAUUUAGAUUCAGGCAAUUCCCCAUUUAAGGGCACAGAAGGAGACCUAUUUAUCAAAUAAGCAGCAGUAAGAACAGCUUCACCCCAAAAAGGUUUUUUCAAGCCAGAAGAAUUUAGCAUAGACCUAACUCUAUCAAGCAAAGUUCUAUUCAUUCUUUCUGCAAUACCAUUUUGUUGGGGUGUGUACACAACAGUUUUAUGUCUCUUAAUGCCAGAUUCAGAACACAGAGUAUCAAAUUCAGCAUUACAGAAUUCAGUUCCAUUAUCAGUUCUCAAAGUUUUGAUUUUCUUCCCAGUUUGGUUUUCAAUCAAGAUUUUCCAAUUUUUAAAUCUUUCACACACAUCAGAUUUAUUCUUGAGUAAAAACACAAACACUUUUCUAGAAAAAUCAUCCACAAUAGACAGAAAAUAUCUAUUACCACCAUGAGAAGGAACUGGGGCAGGGCCCCACACAUCAGCAUGCACAUAUUCAAGUAUAUCUGAACAUUUAGAAGAAUUGGGGAAUGGAGAAACAGGAAAUUUAACUUUGGUUUGUUUUCCCAAAAUGCAUGAGUCACAUAUAGGCAAAUUGGUCACACAAUCAUCACUCAGAUAAUUAUUCUUAUGCAGAAUUUCAAGACCUUUACCACUUAUAUGACCUAACCUCUUAUGCCAAAGAAUAGACAUGUCAUGAUUAACAGUGUUGGCAUGCAAAACAGGUUCAGCAGAACACACAUAGAGAUUUUGCAUUCUAACAGCUUUGAAAACAAAUUUAUCAUGCAUCAUGAUUCUUUGACAACCAUCUCCCCAAUUACCAUGCAGACCACUAUCUUCAAGAAUAGCAACAGACAAAAGAUUACUGCUAAGUUGAGGAACAUGCCUAACAUUCUUAAGAAUUAAUUCAAAACCAGAUUCAAAUUUUAGGCAGAUUGUUCCAAUUCCAACUACAGUUCUUUCACUGUUAUCAGCCAUAGACACAUUUCCAUUUUCAAGUUUCACAUAAGAAGAAAACAGAUGUCUAUGAGGUGUCAUAUGAUGGGUGCAUGCAGAGUCAAAAAUCCAAUCAUUGUCACAUAGAGAGGAGAUCACAGAGUUCACAUAAUCAUGCAUUACAUCACCAACCAUAAACACAUCACCAAGGUUAUCAGUCACAACAUUAGCAUGUUCAUUGGUUCUUUCCUUUUUAGGCUCAGAACACUCAUUAGCAUAAUGACCAUUUUUACCACAGUUAUAACACUUUCUGCCUUUGGCUUUAAACUUAUUCCACCCCUUGCCCUUUUUAGGUUUUUGUAAAGACUGGUUUUGGUUACUAGAGGAAGCCUUAUUUUGAAAUCUAUUUUGAAAAUUGUUUUGAAACUGAUUUUUAGGCUUCCCUUUCACAAAGUUGACUUCACCAAAAGAUUUACUACCCUUGGUAGCUUUUAAAUCCAGUUCUUUGCUUUUUAAACCAUUUAUCACAGUGUCCAAAGAAACCUUAUCUCUGCCAUACUUAAUGGCUGAUUUUACAUCACUGUAAGUAUCAGGGAUAGCAUUUAGCAAAACAAUAGGAGAAUAAUCAUCAAUAUUUUUGUCUCCAGUCAGUUUAAUAUCCUGAACCAAUUUUGUAAAAACAUCAAGGUUUUCAUCAAUGUCUUUGUUUAAAUCCAGUUUGAACCUAAAGAAUUUUUCCAACAAAAACAUUUUGGAGGGCAAGGAGGUUUCAGUAUAAAGUUCUUCCAAUUUAUCCCACAAGACUUUAGCAUUAUCUUGUUUUCCUAGUUUUCUAAUCACAGAGUCACUUAGGUUCAAGAUAAUCAAAGAAUAGGCAAGUUCAUCAAAUUCUGCCUUUUUGGCAGCAGUAGUGUUAUCAUCAUAUGCUAAUGUAACAGCUUUAAAACAUUUUUGUUGCACUAAAACACCUUUUAUUUUCUGUUGCCAAAUAGGAAAAUCCCCUUUUCCAUCAAAAGGAGCUAAGGGAUAAGCAUUCAUAGUAUCACACAGAUAAGAGGCACAGAAUCACACAGUCACACAGAAUCACACAGAAAAUUACAGAGUAGAGCAAAAAACAAGUCAGAUUGCCCUCCCCUUUCCAGAUUCCUGCGACACUAGGCGGUCCGGACAAGAAAGGGUGGAUGAGAGCAAUCCUUAUCUACACUAAGUGCGGAAAAAAGCAAGUAGAAGAGAGGGAAAGAUCAAGCAAGGUCAAGUAAUGCCACACAGGGCCACAUACUGCCACACAGGGCCACCACGCCACACAGGGCCAACUCAAUAGCCACACAGGGCUCCCAAUCUCCACAGGUCAAAACGAACAGGAAACGAAAAUUAGGGUUUCAGAGGUGUUACCUUGACAAAACCAAGUUAGGUUUUGAAAAUUACUCCGCUUUGAGUAGAGCUAAGCUAUAGCCAUAGCUCUGAUACCACUGUAGGGUAUCAAAUCACCAAGCUCCAUUCAAGCCUGCUAUAGAUAUAUAUGAAUCCCUCUUGGCAGUAUUGAUUACAGCCAAGAAGAAUAGAUAUAUGUAUAUAUAGGUAUGUAUAAGAUACAGAAACAGGAAUGACAAGUAUGAGUAAAUUGAAAGAUAAAAAUAGAUUGAGAUUUUCAGCUCAGUCUUCCAAUCUCACACCAGAGAUUCACAGUUCCCAAUUAUACACCACCAGAGCACCUCAAGGAGAACAGAUCUCCUUUCUCUCUCACAACACUCAAACCCUAAAAUACCCAGAAAACCACGAAGGAAGAACAGAUCAAGCACUCAAGCUAACCCACUCACCAAAACCCCAAUUUCU
Molecule: long non-coding RNA, 5791 nt
Filed under: Erythranthe guttata (spotted monkey flower)
Lineage: Eukaryota; Viridiplantae; Streptophyta; Magnoliopsida; Lamiales; Phrymaceae
Description: long non-coding RNA (EGUT_LNC000842)
Source: RNAcentral